GGCGUGCUCUGCUCUCAUUCUAUUUCCUUCCGCCGCUCAGCGUCUCCUCUCUCGUUCAGCUUCACUUGCUUCUUCCCUU
Molecule: long non-coding RNA, 79 nt
Organism: Neltuma alba
Lineage: Eukaryota; Viridiplantae; Streptophyta; Magnoliopsida; Fabales; Fabaceae
Exons: 3
Source: RefSeq, a predicted model, not a curated record